UACGGAGGGAGCUAGCGUUGUUCGGAAUCACUGGGCGUAAAGCGCACGUAGGCGGCUAUUCAAGUCAGAGGUGAAAGCCCCGGGCUCAACCUGGGAAUGGCAAUGGAUACUGGACAGCUAGAGUGCGGUAGAGGGUAGUGGAAUUCCCGGUGUAGCAGUGAAAUGCGUAGAGAUCGGGAGGAACACCAGUGGCGAAGGCGGCUACCUGGACCAGCACUGACACUGAAGCACGAAAGCGUGGGGAGCAAACAGG
Molecule: ribosomal RNA, 253 nt
Filed under: uncultured bacterium
Lineage: Bacteria
Description: partial 16S ribosomal RNA
Rfam family: Bacterial small subunit ribosomal RNA
Source: RNAcentral